Molecule: ribosomal RNA, 544 nt
Filed under: Staphylococcus aureus
Lineage: Bacteria; Bacillati; Bacillota; Bacilli; Caryophanales; Staphylococcaceae
Description: partial 23S ribosomal RNA
Rfam family: Bacterial large subunit ribosomal RNA
Source: RNAcentral
UACUCGUUAAGGCUGAGCUGUGAUGGGGAGAAGACAUUGUGUCUUCGAGUCGUUGAUUUCACACUGCCGAGAAAAGCCUCUAGAUAGAAAAUAGGUGCCCGUACCGCAAACCGACACAGGUAGUCAAGAUGAGAAUUCUAAGGUGAGCGAGCGAACUCUCGUUAAGGAACUCGGCAAAAUGACCCCGUAACUUCGGGAGAAGGGGUGCUCUUUAGGGUUAACGCCCAGAAGAGCCGCAGUGAAUAGGCCCAAGCGACUGUUUAUCAAAAACACAGGUCUCUGCUAAACCGUAAGGUGAUGUAUAGGGGCUGACGCCUGCCCGGUGCUGGAAGGUUAAGAGGAGUGGUUAGCUUCUGCGAAGCUACGAAUCGAAGCCCCAGUAAACGGCGGCCGUAACUAUAACGGUCCUAAGGUAGCGAAAUUCCUUGUCGGGUAAGUUCCGACCCGCACGAAAGGCGUAACGAUUUGGGCACUGUCUCAACGAGAGACUCGGUGAAAUCAUAGUACCUGUGAAGAUGCAGGUUACCCGCGACAGGACGGAAAG